GGUUGUAGCUCAAUGGUAGAGUGCUUGCCUAGCAUGUGUGAGGCACUGGGUUUGAUUCUCAGCACCA
RNAcentral lists this transfer RNA (67 nucleotides) under Marmota monax (woodchuck). RNAcentral describes it as "tRNA.Ala". It matches the Rfam family "tRNA". From Rfam's summary of the family: Transfer RNA (tRNA) molecules are approximately 80 nucleotides in length. Their secondary structure includes four short double-helical elements and three loops (D, anti-codon, and T loops). Further hydrogen bonds mediate the characteristic L-shaped molecular structure. tRNAs have two regions of fundamental functional importance: the anti-codon, which is responsible for specific mRNA codon recognition, and the 3' end, to which the tRNAs corresponding amino acid is attached (by aminoacyl-tRNA synthetases). tRNAs cope with the degeneracy of the genetic code in two manners: having more than one tRNA (with a specific anti-codon) for a particular amino acid; and 'wobble' base-pairing, i.e. permitting non-standard base-pairing at the 3rd anti-codon position. Lineage: Eukaryota; Metazoa; Chordata; Mammalia; Rodentia; Sciuridae. The record is from RNAcentral.